This is a long non-coding RNA of Hemicordylus capensis (graceful crag lizard), 426 nucleotides long. RefSeq lists it as uncharacterized. NCBI's taxonomy places the organism in Eukaryota, Metazoa, Chordata, Lepidosauria, Squamata, Cordylidae. The transcript is spliced from 3 exons. The record is from RefSeq and is a predicted model, not a curated record.
CCCAGCAAGAUCUGAUGGAAAUGCCAAAAAAUAGAGUCUUGUUUGCAGUUUAACUUGUUCAACACAAGAAGGAGGACACACAUACACACAAUUUUCUUCCACCUUUAUUUCGGUUGACUACAGGAAGAGAGGCCAGUGAUUUCAGGUCAAAAGGUGAGGGAAGAGGACCUUAACAGAAAUACAGUCAUCCCGCGCAAACCACAAGUGUCCCAAUCACGGUUUUAAGUAUUCGCGACUGGGAGAAGAAUGUCUGGUCACCUGCAGCAAAGCCAUCCACUUCCACAACAAGCCUCUGCAUGGCUACCAACUCGAGCCAGCCAAGACCUUAACUCUUCUGAUGUAAUCCGUUUUACUGUACACUUGUGGACUGUCCAUUGCAGUUUAAUUUUCUUUACAAAAGAAAUAUAAAUCUAUUUAUAUAUAGUA